AUCUAAUUGAUGAGUCUCAAAUAGGACGAAAUGAACAUCUAGAU
This 44-nucleotide non-coding RNA is filed under the name Schistosoma curassoni. The record is from RNAcentral. Lineage: Eukaryota; Metazoa; Platyhelminthes; Trematoda; Strigeidida; Schistosomatidae.